This 13869-nucleotide long non-coding RNA is filed under the name Podarcis lilfordi (Lilford's wall lizard). The record is from RNAcentral. Lineage: Eukaryota; Metazoa; Chordata; Lepidosauria; Squamata; Lacertidae.
UUGUACCAGUGCAUUUGGAAGCAUCAGAAUAACUUGAGGUAAUAUAUUCAUACAAAAGCUUUGCUCCCGAUUCAUUGCAAUCCUAUCGCCUGAAUUUGAUCCGAGUCCUGGGAUAACUCAGUUGGUAGAGCAUGAGAUUCUCGGGGUUGUGGGUUCAAGCCCACCUUAUCAAAAAGAUUCCUGCAUUGCAGAGGGUUCGGCUAGAAGACCCUCUUGGUCCCUUCCAACUCUAUGAUUCUGUGGUCUAUGAACCUCACUUCUUCACCAUUUCAUCACUGUACAAUGAUGAAAAAGGUCGAACAGUGAUUAUAGAAGUUAAGAUCAAUAAUGAAAAAGUGAUAGUUAUUGGAAUUUAUGCACCAAAUGAAAGAAAAUCUGAAUUCUAUCAAUUCUUGGAAGAAAAAGUCAUAGAAUAUUUAGGGGGGGGGAAUUAUAUUAUUAGGAGAUUUUAAUGGAGUAGUCAAUCCAAACAUGGACAGAACAAUAAAGAAGAAAGAAAAGAGGCAGAACAAACUCCCAACUACAUUUUUCCAAUUAAUAGAACUCCUGAAUUUGUUUGACGCUUGGAGGUUUAAGAAUCCAACAGAGAAAGAAUUUACACAUUAUUCAGAGCCACAUAAAUCGGCAGGACGAAUCAACGCGAUCUGGACAACAAAGGAUUUAUUAAAUAAUAUUACAAAAGCAGAAAUCCAUCCAAGGACAAUUUCAGAUCACAGCGCGGUCUGGGUUAACUUUAAAGGAAAAGAAGAAAAGGUUAAAAGGUGGCACCUUAAUGAGAGUAUGUUAAACGAUGAAAAAACUGUACAGAAGGCCAAGCAAAUCUUAGAAGAAUAUUUUAAGUUUAAUUUAAAUAAAGGAAUAGAUCUAGAGACGGUUUGGGACGCGGGUAAAGCCGUCAUAAGAGGCUUCUUUAUCCAACAAAACGCAUUCCAAUGGAAAAUAAAGGAGGAGAAGAAAAUGGAGAUCUGGGAGGAAAUUAGAAAAAAGGAAAGGAUCCUUUUCCAAAAACCAGAUGAUGAACUAAUUAAGCAAAAUAUAAAAAUUUUACAGACGCAAUUCUCCAUGAUAAUAAACGAAGAGAUAGAAUGGAAGAUAAAAUGGUUGAGACAUAGAAAUUUUGAGUUUGCAAAUCAACCUGGUAAACUUCUGGCCUGGCAAUUAAAGAAGAAAAAGGAAGAUAGAAUUAUCAAUAAAAUUAAAAUUGAAGACAAAUGGAUUCAAGAAUCGAAGGAAAUUAGUAAAAACUUUUCUAGUUUUUUCGGAAAACUAUACAAAGAAGGUCCAGAGACUCUAGAAAAAAUAAUUGAUUAUUUGGGCAAAAAUAAACUACCAAUAAUACCUAAGGAAAAAGCUGAAAUCUUGAACUCACCAAUAACAGCUAUGGAGGUGCAACAAGCUAUACAGAGAUCAAAAUUAGGAAAGACACCGGGCCCAGAUGGUCUCCCAGCUAAUUACUAUAAAAAGUUAGAACAAGCAUUAGAUCUAUCCAAUUACCGCCCGGUUUCGAAUCUUCCAUUCCUGGGUAAGGUGAUUGAGAGAGCGGUUGCUGAACAGCUUGGUAGGUUUCUGGAUGAAACAUCGGCUCUGGAUCCAUUCCAGUCUGGCUUCCGCGCUGGUCAUGGGACCGAGACGGCUCUGGUCGCCCUAACAGAUGAUCUCCGCAGGCAGCUGGAUCGAGGCGGGUCGGGGCUGCUGAUUCUUCUAGACCUGUCAGCAGCCUUCGACAUGGUUGAUCACGAACUCCUGGACCACCGCCUUGCCGACGUGGGGAUCCAGGGCACAGUCCUUCAAUGGCUGCGCUCGUUUCUCUCCGGUCGGGGACAGAGGGUGGCGCUUGGGGGGGAAUUGUCAUCCCGCCACUCCUUGGUGUGUGGAGUGCCUCAGGGUGCGAUACUCUCCCCGAUGCUUUUUAACAUCUUUAUGCGCCCCUCGCCCAGCUUGUCCGGAGUUUUGGGCUGGGUUGCCAUCAGUAUGCCGAUGACACCCAACUCUAUCUGUUGAUGGAUGGCCAUCCUGACUCGGCCCCAGACACACUGACCAGAUGUUUGGAAGCUGUGGCUGGAUGGUUACGUGGAAGCCGGUUGAAGUUAAAUCCUUCGAAGACAGAGGUCCUCUGGCUGGGACGGGACGAUAUGGGAUUGGGGGCAACUCCCAUCUCUUGCGGGGUGCAAUUAGUGCCAGCACCGUCCGUUAAGAGUUUGGGUGUAAUCUUCGAUACCUCCCUCUCUAUGGAGGCGCAGAUUACAGCUAUAACAAAGGCGGCAUUUUUUCAUCUCCGCCAAGCUAAGCAGUUGGCCCCUUAUCUCUCUCGCCCUGACCUAGCCACUGUGAUCCACGCGACGGUCACCUCCAGACUGGAUUAUUGUAACUCGCUCUACGUGGGGCUGCCCUUGAGACUGACCCAGAAACUCCAGCGGGUGCAGAAUGCCGCGGCGAGACUCCUUAUGGGGUCUUUGCUGCGAGAUCACAUUCAUCCGGUAUUAUACCAGCUGCACUGGCUCCCGGUGGAGUACAGGAUCAGGUUUAAGGUGCUGGUUUUAACCUUUAAAGCCCUAUACGGCCUAGGACCCUCGUACCUACGGGACCGCCUCUCCUGGUAUGCCCCACAGAGGAACCUACGGUCUGCAAAUAAAAACACCCUGAAGGUCCCAGGCCUCAGAGAGGUUAGGCUGGCCUCAACUAGAGCCAGGGCUUUCUCGGCUGCGGCUCCAAUCUGGUGGAACGCUCUGUCACAAGAGACUAGGGCCCUGCGGGACCUGACAUCUUUCCGCAAGGCCUGCAAGACAGAGUUGUUCCACCAGGCCUUUGGUCAGGGCCCAGCCUGACUCCCUCCUCUGGCAACCUGCACAGAAUUUUGCGUAACGGAUGCCAUUAAAUUGAUUUUAAUUAAUUUUUAUAAUGAAAUGUUUUAGAAUAUUGGAUUAUUUGAUUGUUUGAUUAUUUGUUUGUUGUUAGCCGCCCUGAGCCUGGCUUUGGCUGGGGAGGGCGGGAUAUAAAUAAAAUUUAUUAUUAUUAUUAUUAUUAUUAUUUCUUCCCAUGAAAGACCUAAUGAAUAAUAUUCUGGCAAAUGGAAAGCUACCGAAAACCUGGAAGGACAGCUUUAUUACUCUUAUCCACAAACAGGGAACAGAUGCCUCAAACAUGGCCAAUUACAGACCCAUUGCACUGCUAAAUAACGAUUACAAGAUAUUUGCAGACAUUCUUGCAAAUAGAUUAAAAAUGGUGCUGAAAGAGAUAAUUCAUAAAGAUCAAACUGGAUUUCUUCCUGGACGAUUUAUGCAAUCCAAUAUUAGAUGUGUGAUUAAUGUAUUAGAAUAUUUGGAUAUUAAAAUUGAUAAACCAGCAGCUAUUAUGUUGGUGGACGCUGAAAAAGCUUUUGACAACGUGUCCUGGAAGUUUAUGAAAAAAUUAAUGGAAGAAAUCGGACUGGGAGAAAAUAUUUGUAAAGGAAUAAAUGCCAUCUAUUCGGAACAAUAUGCAAAAUGGAAGAAUUACUGUGGAGUGCAAAAUAAACAAGGGAACAGGACAGGGCAGCCCACUGUCACCACUGAUAUUUAUCUUGGUGAUGGAAGUCUUGAACAAUCAGAUAAGAAAGGAUCAGCUUGUUAAAGGCAUCACUCUGGGAAACAAAACAUAUAAAAUUAAAGCUUUUGCGGACGAUUUACUUGUUAUGACUGAAAACCCUAAAGAAAGUCUGAAAAGAGUGCUGGAAUUGAUUAAAGAAUUUGGAGAAGUGGCAGGCUUUAAGCUGAAUAUAACAAAAACAAAAAUGCUUGUUAAAAAUGUAACCACAGAAGAAAAGGACGACUUAGAAAAAAUAUUGGGCCUGAAAAUCUCCUCAAAAGCGAAAUACUUGGGUAUUUGGAUCACCCCCAAGAACAUAAACCUAUUUCAGGAUAAUUACACCAAAACUUGGUUAGAGAUUAGAAAAAAAUUUGUAACCUGGAGUAAACUAAAAUUAACAUUUCUGGGUAGGAUUUCCAUUAUAAAGAUGAAUGUGCUUCCAAAAUUAAUCUUUUUAUUUCAAAUGAUUCCAAUACUGGGUGAAGCAGGUUGUCUCAAGAUAUGGCAAAGAGAAAUUUCCAAAUUCCUGUGGGAAGGGAAAAAACCUAGGAUUAAACACCUGACCUUAAUAGACAUAAAAGAGAGAGGAGGCUUUUCCCUACCCGACUUAAAACUUUACUAUGAGGCAGCCUGUUUCACCUGGCUAAAAGAUUGGUGCACGUUGCAGGAUCCGGACCUCCUGGACCUAGAAGGUUUUGACAACCGCUGGGGAUGGCACGCCUACCUGAUAUAUGGAAAGGCGAAAAUUCAUAAAAAUUUUACCAACCAUAUAAUAAGAAAAUCACUCUUUGCUGUAUGGGAAAAAUAUAAAGACCUGAUGGAGCCUAAAGUCCCGUGGUGGACUUCUCCAAUAGAAGCCGUAACAGUAAAACGGAAAAAUACUCAGGAAAGCUGGCCAACAUAUAAAACACUUCUAAAAAAUGAAGAUAACCAAAUAAAAUUUAAAAACUUUGAGGAAAUGAGAGAACACAUCUCAGACUGGUUCCAAUACCAUCAGUUAUUUGAAAAAUUUAAAUCUGACAAACAAAAGGGGUUCUCAACAGAAAUUUCCCAAUUCGAAUCUGAUCUUAUAAAUUCUAAAAGAAAAACUCUUUCCAAAAUGUAUCCAAAAAUGUAUUCCAAAAUGAGGAGGUAACAUUGGCAAUGGUGAGGUGGUCCCAGGAUUUUGGCCAUUCAAUAACCAUGGCCCAGUAGGAAAAUUUAUGGAAGAUCAAUUGGAAAUUCACAAAUUGUUACACGAUUAGAGAGAACUUUCAAAAAAUGCAACAUCGAUGGUAUCUAACACCAUGGAAACUUUCAAAAAUGUAUAAAAAUGUGUCAAGUAAUUGUUGGAGAUGCGGUGAAUCAGGAACAUUCUACCAUAUGUGGUGGAUAUGUAGGAAAAUACAGGUAUUCUGGGAGAGGAUCCACACAGAACUGCAAAAAAUGCUAAAGAUCUCUUUCAACAAAAAACCAGAGGCCUACCUCCUGGGAAUAACAGAUUUGGAUAUUCCACAAACGAGGAAGGGUAUUGUAAUGGUUCUAGGGGUUGCUCGUGCGUAAGCCGGUGCCAACACCUGGCUGGGGUGCCUGAGUGAACCUUUUCUGUCCGGACAGCCACUCACCCGUGGCUGUCUCAAUCGCUGGCAGAAUCCGUCAGUGGGCGUUUCUUAAACUUCUUCCAGCAAAGAAGCUCUUUGACACCUAGUCUCCUCCUACUCUCCCUGCGCGGAAGCCUUCUGCGCAAGGAGGGCGUAGGCAGCGGAGGACCCUUACUCUCCCCACUGGUCCCCGGCAAGGAGUCAUGGGACCGCCUCGCCGAUUCCCCCAUCUGCCCCCCUUCUCCACUGGUGCUACGCUGAUUCUCUUCCCCAGAAGUUGGGCUGCCUCUCCCAAUCCCGGGACGCUCUCUGGAAUCCCUCUGGAGCUUGCUCUCUCCCUCCGGCACUGAUGGCAGUUCCCUGACAUCCACCUCCUCCUCAGGACCCCACCCCCACCCCUGGCGCGAUACAACUUCCUCUCUCUCCUCGGCCGACGAUGCAGGGAAUCCCCUGAAGGAGCUGUCAUCAUCUUCUGAGGAUUCAAAACCAGCCUCCCAUCCGCUCGGAUCUCUUCCCGCUGGUCGAACCUCCCAGUCUGAUUCUUCUCCCUUCGACACCUCCUCUCCCUCCUCUUCGGAGGCAGGAAAACCCACAAAGUCCCCUUCGUCGUCUGUGGGUCCAAAUUCUCCCUCCCAGAAUCUAGCUAAUGGUUUGGGCUUAUCCGGGAACAAACUGUGGAAUUCUUCCACCAGAUACCAGUCAGUGAUUGAUUCAGCAGGGACCCACGUGUUUUCCGACCUAGGUUCCCCCUCCCAGGCUACCAAGUACUCUACCUGGCGACCUCGCCACCUUGAAUCAAGUAUUUCCGUGGCUUCGUUACAGUAUUCCCUCUCCUCUACCUGCGGGUGGGUGGUAACCCCUCCCUCCCGUCCCGGGAAUUCCCACCCCUCCCUGUAAGGUGAAAGUAGGGACCUAUGGAACACCGGGUGUAUCUUCAUGCUGUCAGGCAACUUGAGUUUAAAUGCCACUGGGUUAACCUGCUGUAUUACCUCAAAAGGCCCCAGCCGCCUCGGCUGCAACUUCUUAAACCCUCCCUUUAGGGGCAACCCUUGGGUUGACAACCACACCCACACCCACCCAUAUGGCCUCCCCCUCCCGACGGUGCCUGUCCGCCUGCCUCUUGUAAACUUCCUUGGCCCGCUCCAAGUUCAGCCUGAGUUGCUGGUGUAAGGCCUCCAUUUCCUCCACAAAUUGCUCAACCGCAGGUACACUCCAUCCUUCCUCCCCCCGCCCCGGGAAGGCCCUGGGGUGACACCCGUAAUUGGCCAUGAAAGGGCUCAUUCCCGUGGACACGUGUUCAGCGUUAUUGUACGCAAAUUCAGCCAAAGCUAAUUUCUCUACCCAGUCGUUCUGUUUCUCGCUGACAUAGCAGCGUAGGUAUUGCUGGAGUAUACCAUUCGCUCUUUCGGCUUGUCCGUUGGUUUCUGGGUGCCUUGCCGUCAAGAAGCUCACCUCGACCUGUAGCAAGCUCAUGAGUUUCCGCCAGAACCGGGAAGUAAAUUGUUUCCCGCAAUCCAAGAUUACCCUCAAUGGAGUCCCAUGCAGUCUAAAAAUGUGAUCCACAAACAGCCUGGCUGUCUCCUCUGCCAUUGCUGCAUGUGAGCAAGCUACGAAAUGGAACAUUUUAGUCAGUAGAUCGACUACUACCAUGACCGCUGUCUUUCCCCUUGACUUGGGCAGAUCUGUCAUAAAAUCAAUGGACACCACCUCCCAGGGCUUUUCCGGUGUGGGUAAGGGUUCCAGUAACCUCGCGGGGGCAGCCCUUUCCCCCUUAGCCCUCUGGCAUCGGUCGCACCCUCGUACAUAUUCUCGUAUGUCUUCCCUCACUUUGGCCACCAGAACUGCCUGGUAGUAGUAGCAUGGUCUUGUGCUGUCCAAAGUGCCCAGCUGUUGGGUUGUCAUGGAGUUGUCUAAGUACCUUCCCCCUCAAAGUCUCCCCGGUACAUACAACGCCCCCUUAUAGUACAGUAGCCCUUCCUUUUCCUCAAACCCUCCAUUGACUUCCUUUCCGUCCCUGAGUUCCCUGAUUUUUGUCUGAGCAAACUCAUCGUCUCUGGUGAGCCCUGCCAGUUCUCGUUUCCCAACCAACGCUCCCACACACACACACACCGGUCCUCGGGGAACACGUGCCUGGUCUCUGGUGGCCCCUCUCCUUCCAUGUACUCCGGUUUCCAGGAGAGAGCAUCUGCCCUUACGUUUUCCUCGGAUCGGAUCUCGAAGAAAAACUUGGCGAACUCCUGGGACCAUCUGAUCUGUCUCUGGUUGAGCACUUGCACGGUCCGCCAGUAUUCCAAGUUCUUGUGGUCAGUUUGGACCUGGAUCUUGUGCCACGCCCCUAUCAACAGAUGUCUCCAUUGCCGAAAUGCCGCAUAGAUGGCAAGCAGUUCUCGGUCAUACACUGUGUAGUUUUGCUCUGACUUGCUCAGCUUCCUAGAGAAAAAGGCACACGGCCUCCAGUUCUGCUUGGCCCCAGGCUGCAAAAGGACCGCUCCAAUGGCGCGGUCGGACGCGUCCGUCUCCAGUCUCAUGGGCUUCUCCGGAUCCACGUGCAGGAGCUGCUCUUCCGAGGCGAAUGCCUUCUUCAGUUUUUCAAAGGAUUGCUGCGCACCCUCUGUCCACGCGAACUUCUUUUUGCUACUAAGACAAUCCGUUAUGGGCGCUGUCAAGUGAGCGAAGUUCUUUAUGAACUUCCUGUAGAAGUUGCUGAAGUCUAGGAACCUUUGCACAUCCUUUCUGUUUUGGGGGGCUUUCCAUUCCAGCACUGCCUUCACUUUGCCCGGAUCCAUGGCUAGUCCUUUGUCUGACAACCUGUACCCCAGGAACCCGACCCCCCUGGCGUGCAGUUGGCAUUUUUCCAGCUUGACGCACAACUGAUGCUUCUUCAAUCUCUGUAGCACCUCCCUGAUGUCUCUGACGUGCUGCUUUUCAUUGUCCGAAUAGAUUAAGACGGCAUCCAAAAAGGCUACACAAUUCUUGUACAGCAGAGGCCCCAACACAUGGUGCAUGAAGGCUUGAAAGCAGGCAGACCCCGAUUGUAAUCCAAAUGGCAUGACUAAGUACUCAAAAGCCCUCAGGGGGGUGAACAUGGUCAUUUUCCAUUCGUCCCCUUCCCUUAUCCUAAUCAGAUUGUAUGCUCCCCUGAGGUCCAGCUUGGUAAAAAUCUUCCCCUGCCUCACACGUGUCAAAAUAUUGUCAAUCCUGGGCAUUGGGAAAGUCAUGGGUUCUGAUACCAGAUUUAGGGCCCGGUAAUCCACGACUAAUCUGGGCUGAUUAGUCUCUUUUUUGUCCAAAAGAACACUGGACUGCCCCCCACCACCUUUGAUUCCCUUAUGAAACCUCUCUUCAGGUUCUUGUCAAUAAACUGCCGCAGCUCCUGCAGCUCCCGGUCGGACAUGGCAUACAGCUUACCCACUGGUAACAGAGCCCCUGGAAGCAGGUUGAUUUGGCAGUCAAAGGGCCUGUGGGGGGGCAGUCUAUCUGCCUCCCUCUCGCUGAAGAUCUCCUUCAAAUCAGCAUAUUGUGGUGGCACCUCCCCUUUUUGCUCCAGGGCCAACCCAGCCACCCUGGCCACAGUCAUUCUUGGUUCCUUCCCUCCCAGACAGUGUUCUAAGCAGUAAGCUGACCCAAAGGUGACCGACCGCUGAUGCCAUGACACCACUGGGUCAUGUGUUGCCAGCCACCUCAUUCCCAGUAUUAUUGGGGGUCCUGCCAGCGUGGCCACAUGAAAGGCAAUGGUUUCCGUGUGCCUGGAGACCCUCAUUCGCAUUGGCGGUGUCUGGUGUGUCACUUCCCCUCCCAGGAGUUCCCUGCCAUCGAUGGUGGUCACCUGCAAGGGAAAAUCUAGUGGCAACAGGUGGAGUUGGUGCUCGAGAGCAAAGUCUCUGCUGAAGAAAUUACACGAGCUGCCAGAAUCUAGCAGUCCCUCCACUUUGACGGGGUGCCCAUUUGGGAGUUCUAGCACCACCUCUAUGGCUAUAGCUGCCUUGGGGGGGGUCAGGCUGGGGCACUUCUAUGGGUUGCUGGCCUGGCUGCUGCCCCUGCUGGUUGGUAGCCAGGCGUUGUCGUUUCCCUGCACCGGCCCCUCCUCCACCUUCUUGUCGUGGCCUGCAGCCCCCAUCAUGCCUUGCCAGGCUUCUCAUUGAGGGCAGACCUUUGCAAAAUGUCCCGGUCGCUGACAAAGGAAACACUUCUUGGUAGUUUUCCACUCCUUCCCCUCCCUUUUCUGACCUUCACCAGCGUUUGAAACUUCGCGCGCAUGCGCUCCAUCAAUUUCCAUCGGCUCUGCCGCCUGGGAAGGCUCCCUCGGCAUCUCCGGAAUGCGGUUGUCAUGGAAACGUUCGCCCUUAUCUCCCACUUCUCCUGAGCCCGCGCUUCCUGGCGUAAACCAAACGCAAGCACAGUCUUUGUGAGUUCAUCCAUCGACCGCGGGCGGGGCGCUCGGGACAACUCGUCUUUCACUUCGGGGGACAAACCCGCUUCAAACAACAUUUGCAUUGGUUCACAGUCCAGAUCCCACCCAAGCUUGUGGACUAACAUCGCAAAACGCGACCAGUAGUUUCUGACGGACAGGCCCCUGGCUUGCACCCCAUCAGCUCCCGCCGUGUCACGCUUUGCUCAACCUCGCCUAAGAACAUCGCGUCCAUUCCCUGAAAGAAUUUCUUAAGGUCCUUCAAGGCAUCAUUCUGCGUCGCCAUUAGGGGCCUGAUCCAUUCGCGCGCCCCAUCCUGCAGAUGUCCCACAAUGUAAGCCACCCUCUCCCCGUCAUCCGCAAAGUCAUUUUUCUGCAAUUCCAAAGCGUACUGAAUUUCCGUUCGGAAGGCAUUGUAGUCGUGGGGCUUUCCUCCAAACUUGUGUACCAGCCCCGGGACCUUCCUUCCUAUCGGGGUGGCUCUGACCUGUGCAUCCUGAGCCCGUCUCUCCUCCAGCCGCGCAGACAGGGUAGCUACAUGCGCCUCCAGGUCUCGGUUCCUCUCGACCAGACCUCGCAUCAUGGCUUCUUGCUCUGUCUCUCCAGCCGGUCCCGUUUGGCUCAUCGUGCUGCCUCUCCGGGGCUGCGCACAAGCAACGUCAGGGACUGACGGAUUGCUGUAAUGGUUCUAGGGGUUGCUCGUGCGUAAGCCGGUGCCAACACCUGGCUGGGGUGCCUGAGUGAACCUUUUCUGUCCGGACAGCCACUCACCCGUGGCUGUCUCAAUCGCUGGCAGAAUCCAUCAGUGGGCGUUUCUUAAACUUCUUCCAGCAAAGAAGCUCUUUGACGCCUAGUCUCCUCCUACUCUCCCUGCGCGGAAGCCUUCUGCGCAAGGAGGGUGUAGGCAGCGGAGGACCCUUACUCUCCCUGCUGGUCCCCGGCAAGGAGUCAUGGGACCGCCUCGCCGAUUCCCCCAUCUGCCCCCCUUCUCCACUGGUGCUACGCUGAUUCUCUUCCCCAGAAGAUGGGCUGUCUCUCCCAAUCCCAGGACACUCUCUGGAAUCCCUCUGGAGCUUGCUCUCUCCCUCCGGCACUGAUGGCAAUUCCCUGACAGGUAUCUUUUUAUAUGCGACGGCGGCAGCAAGAGUUUUGAUCGCAGCAAAAUGGAAGAGUAAUGAAAUCCCCUCUAUACAAGAUUGGAUCCAAAAGCUGACAGAAUAUGCCGAAUUAGAUGGUUUAUCAGAAAAAAUAAAGAACAAAUCAAAACAGGAAUUUGUUUCAAAAUUGGAGGUUUUCAAAGAUUAUCUGAAAAAUAUAGUAGUUUAAAUUCUGUUGCAGCAUUCGAGGAACUUCAGUAAUACCGUAUUUUUCGCACCAUAGGAUGCACCGGACAAUAGGACGCACUUUGUUUUAGAGGGGGGAGAACAAGAAAAAAAAAAUUUCCCCCUCUCUGCCCAGCGCCCCUUCAGUGAAGCAGCAGGAGGCGCUGCAGAGAGAGGGGGAGAACUUUCCCCCUCUUGUUUUCCUGCUCUAAAACAAGGUGCCGUUUAAGGUGCGUUCAGGCGGCUACCUUGGAAGCCUGGAGAGCGAGAGGGGUCAGUGUGUUCCUUUCGACCUGCUCUUUGGGGCUGGCGGGGGGAAGCCCACCACCAGCCCCAAAGAGCAGGUCAGGGAGCAGCGGAAAGGCGCAGCGGAGAGGCUCCUGCCAUAGCCGCACGUCACCUCUCCAGCCGGGAGAGGGUCGCAGGGGGCUGCUUUAGUCCCACGCGCGCUCUCCCGGCUGGAGAGGUGACGCGGGGCUGUAGAGGCUCCUGCCAUAGCCGCGCGUCACCUCUCUAGCCGGGAGAGCGCGUGCGGGGCUAAAGAAGCCAUAGCCCCGCGACCCUCUCCCGGCUGGAGGUGACGCGCAGCUAUGGCAGGAGCCUCUAUAGCCGCGCGUCACCUCUCCAGCCGGGAGAGAGUCGCGGGGCUAUGGCAUCUUCGCUCCAUAGGACGCACACACAUUUCCCCUUCAUUUUUGAAGGGGAAAAAGUGCGUCCUAUAGAGCGAAAAAUACGGUAAUUGCAAGGUAGAUCUAAGAAAUUAGAUUUAUUGAGAAUAAGUUAAAUUAUGUUAAAAGUGUGUAUUGGCAAAAACUAAUAAGAAUUUGAAAUAUGGAAUAGACGGGAGGUUGGGUCUUUAGUGUCAAGACCAAUAGAUGUUUUAUUGUUUGCUAAGAAAAUUAUGUGUCUAUGGUUAUUUUUUUGUAAUUUGUGUCUAAUUUGGUAUUUGUGUUUUUUUCUUUUUUUCUUGUUGUAUAAAUAAAAAACUUUUUUUAAAAAAGACCCUCACUUCUUCACAAUGAGGGCACCACCACAAUUUUUUAUUCAGCAAUUUUUUGCAUAAUAGGAGUUUGCCUUUAUUAAAUUGGAGAGCGAAAGAAGAAGGAAUCUCAGGGUGGGCUUUUUUUGUGGGGGACAUGACUUUUCUGGUCAGAGGCAGAAGGAGCUUGGGUCUGUGGGAUAUGAAAUUCAUAGCAGUCAGGUACAACAUUCCUAGAGUGGACAUGCUAGGGGAUGCUUUGUGCCACCCAGAAGAAAACUUCCUCUUUCCUCCGGAGCGGGGACAAGCGCUUCCUCUACAUGUGACUUGAAAUAAGGUAAAGGUAAAGGUACCCCUGCCCGUAGGGGCCAGUCGUGUCUAACUCUAGGGUUGCGUGCUUAUCUCGCUCUAGAGGCCGUGAGCCGGCGCCGUCCGAAGACACUUCCGGGUCACGUGGCCAGCGUGAUGAAGCUGCAGCUGGCGAGCCAGCACCAGUGCAGCACACGGAAACGCCGUUUACCUUCCCGCUAUAAAGCGGUACCUAUUUAUCUACUUGCACUUAAGAGUGCUUUCGAACUGCUAGGUGGGCAGGAACUGGGACCGAACGACGGGAGCUCACCCCGCCGCGGGGAUUCGAACUGCCAACUAUACGAUCGGCAAGUCCUAGGGACUGAGGUUUCACCCACAGCGCCACUGGGUGGAGGAGCACACCUCCAUGUGCUUCAUUCUUUCUUCUCCAUUUUAUUUUUUUCUAUGUGUUAGGAGAAGUGACUGCUCAGUCGCAGUCAUUUGGGACUAACUCCCUUAUAUUAUAGCUUAUAGAUAUAGAUAUACUUUUGUAACAUAAGCCUGCCUUCAGGAAUCUAAUUGUGAACUGAAUGAAAAUGAAUAAGCUACAUGUAUAUUGAUUUUAAUAAGAUUGUUGUGUCUGCACUUUUAAAGAGGGAUAACAAGGGAUCUUAUCAGGAAUCCUAAAUAGUGAGGCUAAGACGAGCCUGCAACAAGCUUACCGCUGUGCAAAUUUGAAAAGGAGAAUGUUUGAACUAUGCUAAGAUAUAGAACUUGUUAAUGCAAGUUAGUAAGGAUCUCAUCAAAUAAUAUAUCCUCUCCUGCCGUUCUAAACAUUCCCACAAGUCAGUCCCUAGCUAGAGAUCUGGCAUCCCCUUGUCUCAGACCAGAUUUGGGUCUCUGCCUCCAAGGAGUUUAGACGCACACGGUUGAGACAUGUUGACUGCAGCAGGCAAUGGCUCCCUCACAUGUGUGAACAGCCAUUUGGAGGUAACUCUCAAACACCACAGAGAUUGGGCAUUGCUUUGACGAAUAUCCUGCAACAAACCACCUUCCUGAGCCCUCUGGUCUCUCCCACGGCCAGUAAAAGUAAAAUACUUGUUUACCUGACGUUGACACAAAAGCUCACAUACUACAGAAAUGAAUGAAAUGUUUAUUUCUUUCCCGCUUUCCUUCCCUCUCUCUUCCCACUUUUCUGCCCCCCCAACUCCAUAUUGCCUAGAACAGUACUGUCUCACUCUGAAUAGGACUGAUUUGUUUGAAGGAUUCUGUGACUUGAAAACAGAGACUCUGGGUGUACCCAAAAAUUUAAUAAAAACAUUUUAAAAAACAACAGUCUCUCUCAUCCAUUAACAUUCUGCAGUGCAGCUUCAUUGGAAAGCCAUGGAAUGUGAUCCUGCAAAGGGCCAGUCUAGGUAUUAGGGCUGCCACUUUUUUUGCACCUAAGAGGCAGACAAUAUGCGGUAGGUAAAUAAGAUGUUUUGGGUUGUAGUUGAGGAAAUUUCCUCUAAGCCCCCAAACACACUCCACAAAGCACAUAGAUAACAUGUAUGCAGCAGGUUUACUAUCACAUUAUAACAUGCCCUGUAUGGAGCAGUUACAGAAAUCUCAGUAUGGUGCCUAUCUGUUAUUCUGAAAUGUGAGCUGCAGUACAAAAUACCAGUUUUUGUGCAGCCUGGGCCCAUUCAUAUUUAUUUAGGAAUCCCAUGCAGUAUUUUAAGGAGCAGG